RNAcentral lists this long non-coding RNA (1436 nucleotides) under Oryctolagus cuniculus (rabbit). RNAcentral describes it as "lncRNA (ENSOCUG00000038835.1)". The record is from RNAcentral. Lineage: Eukaryota; Metazoa; Chordata; Mammalia; Lagomorpha; Leporidae.
GCAUUUGACGUAGUGAUUAAGACACUUAAGUCCUCCCUUGGAGUACCUGGGUUUAAAUCCUAGCUCUGCUUCUGAUUCCAGCUUCCUGCUAGUGUAGACCCUGAGAGGCGGCAGUGAUGGCUCACUUGCCAUCCACACAGGGUUGAAUUCCUGACUCUUGGCUUUGGCCUGGCCUAGACCUGGACAUAGUGGGCAUUUGGGGAGUGAACCAGAAGUGGGAGCUCUCCCUAUCUGUCUGUCUAUCUGCUUCAAUAAUAAUAAUAAUAAUAAUAAUAAUUUCAAAUCUAAAGCCAUUUAGGAAAUACUUGCUAAGGUAUUAGCUAUCAAAAAUUGCAUCAUUUGACAUUUUUCCAAGUCCAAAUGCAUACCUCAUCAUGGCCACAUUCUUGGUAAACAGGUAAACACCUUCCCACUGGGAUCCCAACUGCAGAUCUUUUCUUUUCUUCUUCUUUCUUCUUUUUUUUUUUUUUUUUGACAGGCAGAGUGGACAGUGAGAGAGAGAGAGAGAGAGAGAGAGAGAAAGGUCUUCCUUUUCCAUUGGUGCACCGCCCCCCCCCCCCCCAAUGGCCGCUGCGGCCAGCACACCCGCUGAUCCAAAGCCAGGAGCCAGGUGCUUCUCCUGGUCUCCCAUGGUGUGCAGGGUCCAAGCACCUGGGCCAUCCUCCACUGCCCUCCCAGGCCACAGCAGACAGCCAGACUGGAAGAGGAGCAACCGGGACAGAAUCCAGCGCCCCAACCGGGACUAGAAUGUGUGGCGCCGGCGCCGCAGGUAGAGGAUUAGCCUAGUGAGCUGCGGCACCGGCCUCCAACCACAGGUCUUACAAGCACAUGCCUGUUGAAGUUUGUGAUGACUGGCUGCUUGAGAGCAGACCCCUCUCCGUAAGUGAUGUCACAGUUGAUUUGGAAGUACGACUGCCUGGGGCCAGGCUGAGAUAGGGCCACUCCGGGCCCAGGAGCUGGCAGUGGGGCUGGAGCUGGAGAUGAUGGCCAACAGGUCCAGCAGACUGGCCGGAGCCUGCCCUAGGAAAUGCAUACCUCCCCACUCGAGGAGGCAGAGCUGUCUGAGGCCGAGUCUGUGUGCCUGCACCAAUGUGCCUCCAAGUCCCUGGACAUCCACAAGCAGAGUCGUCCCUGCACGGUGCGGCAGAGCCUGCGCCUGCACCCGGCUCCAGUUCUUCAGAGGCAGAAAGGUGUGGACACAGAGGGUGUGUUCUUGGCUGGGAUCCUUAGGAGGAGAGAAGUGGCUGGCGCUAAAGGUGAGUGGAACACUGCCCCAGGAAGGUGAGGCUGUGGAAGGGCUAGAUUAACAUGCAGCCUUCAGUCUCGGGUUAGCUGAGACUUUUACUGGGUAUUUACCGGUUGCUUCCUAUAUACCCGAGACUGAGUCAAGCCCUGCUGACACAAAUAAAGCUACAUAAGAAAUGGCUGUACCCUCA